Molecule: ribosomal RNA, 114 nt
Filed under: Gopherus agassizii (Agassiz's desert tortoise)
Lineage: Eukaryota; Metazoa; Chordata; Testudines; Testudinidae
Source: RNAcentral
GUCUAUGGCCAUACCACCCUGAACAUGCCCGAUCUCGUUUGAUCUCGGAAGCUAAGCAGGGUCGGGCCUGGUUAGUACUUGGAUUGGAGACCUCCCNACUGGGUGCUGUAGGCU